RNAcentral lists this ribosomal RNA (387 nucleotides) under uncultured soil bacterium. RNAcentral's name for it is "bacterial SSU rRNA". It matches the Rfam family "Bacterial small subunit ribosomal RNA", at positions 26 to 413 of the family's 1533-position model. The record is from RNAcentral.
AGAUUGAACGCUGGCGGCAGGCCUAACACAUGCAAGUCGAGCGGUAGAGAGGUGCUUGCAUCUCUUGAGAGCGGCGGACGGGUGAGUAAUGCCUAGGAAUCUGCCUAGUGGUGGGGGAUAACGUUCGGAAACGGACGCUAAUACCGCAUACGUCCUACGGGAGAAAGCGGGGGACCUUCGGGCCUCGCGCCAUUAGAUGAGCCUAGGUCGGAUUAGCUAGUUGGUGAGGUAAUGGCUCACCAAGGCGACGAUCCGUAACUGGUACUGAGAGGAUGAUCAGUCACACUGGAACUGAGACACGGUCCAGACUCCGUAACGGGAGCAGCAGUGGGAAUAGUUGACAAUGGGACAAGCCUAGACUCGACGCCAUCGCCGCGUGUGUAGAAG